This 628-nucleotide ribosomal RNA is filed under the name Cladosporium sp. CMT52. Its description in RNAcentral is "LSU rRNA". It matches the Rfam family "Eukaryotic large subunit ribosomal RNA", at positions 40 to 689 of the family's 3401-position model. The record is from RNAcentral. Lineage: Eukaryota; Fungi; Ascomycota; Dothideomycetes; Cladosporiales; Cladosporiaceae.
AUAUCAAUAAGCGGAGGAAAAGAAACCAACAGGGAUUGCUCUAGUAACGGCGAGUGAAGCAGCAAUAGCUCAAAUUUGAAAUCUGGCGUCUUCGACGUCCGAGUUGUAAUUUGUAGAGGAUGCUUCUGAGUAACCACCGACCUAAGUUCCUUGGAACAGGACGUCAUAGAGGGUGAGAAUCCCGUAUGCGGUCGGAAAGGUGCUCUAUACGUAGCUCCUUCGACGAGUCGAGUUGUUUGGGAAUGCAGCUCUAAAUGGGAGGUAAAUUUCUUCUAAAGCUAAAUAUUGGCCAGAGACCGAUAGCGCACAAGUAGAGUGAUCGAAAGAUGAAAAGCACUUUGGAAAGAGAGUUAAAAAGCACGUGAAAUUGUUAAAAGGGAAGGGAUUGCAACCAGACUUGCUCGCGGUGUUCCGCCGGUCUUCUGACCGGUCUACUCGCCGCGUUGCAGGCCAGCAUCGUCUGGUGCCGCUGGAUAAGACUUGAGGAAUGUAGCUCCCUCGGGAGUGUUAUAGCCUCUUGUGAUGCAGCGAGCGCCGGGCGAGGUCCGCGCUUCGGCUAGGAUGCUGGCGUAAUGGUCGUAAUCCGCCCGUCUUGAAACACGGACCAAGGAGUCUAACAUCUAUGCGA